RNAcentral lists this ribosomal RNA (253 nucleotides) under uncultured bacterium. RNAcentral describes it as "partial 16S ribosomal RNA". It matches the Rfam family "Bacterial small subunit ribosomal RNA", at positions 524 to 776 of the family's 1533-position model. The record is from RNAcentral.
UACAGAGGUCCCAAGCGUUGUUCGGAUUCACUGGGCGUAAAGGGUGCGUAGGCGGCGCGGUAAGUCGGGUGUGAAAUCUCGGAGCUUAACUCCGAAACUGCAUUCGAUACUGCCGUGCUUGAGGACUGGAGAGGAGACUGGAAUUUACGGUGUAGCGGUGAAAUGCAUAGAUAUCGUAAGGAAGACCAGUGGCGAAGGCGGGUCUCUGGACAGUUCCUGACGCUGAGGCACGAAGGUCAGGGGAGCAAACGGG